UACGUAGGGGGCUAGCGUUGUCCGGAAUAAUUGGGAGUAAAGAGUGUGUAGGCGGCUAGGUAAGUGGGUUGUGAAAGUCCAGGGCUCAACCCUGGAAUGCCAGUGGAAACUGUCGAGCUAGAGUCCGGAAGAGGCGAGUGGAAUUCCUGGUGUAGCGGUGAAAUGCGCAGAUAUCAGGAGGAACACCAAUGGCGAAGGCAGCUCGCUGGGACGGUACUGACGCUGAGACGCGAAAGCGUGGGGAGCAAACAGG
Molecule: ribosomal RNA, 253 nt
Filed under: uncultured bacterium
Lineage: Bacteria
Description: partial 16S ribosomal RNA
Rfam family: Bacterial small subunit ribosomal RNA
Source: RNAcentral